AAAAAAAAAAAAAAAAGGCAUGAUAAAGAAAAAUAUUUGGCACAAAUUUGCAUGCUUAAGCUAUGUGAAAGGCGAAAAUUGUAACAAAUACUUAUUGGGCCUUAACCUAUCAAUAUUACAUCAUAUGUAACCUUCGCUGGUAAAAAUAGUCAACUUCUAAAACAAAAAUAAAAUUCAACCUCAAUUCCAAUUCAUCAGGCCGCCGAGGCCCCAGACUGAAACUGCUGCAACAU
Molecule: unclassified non-coding RNA, 233 nt
Filed under: Hevea brasiliensis (rubber tree)
Lineage: Eukaryota; Viridiplantae; Streptophyta; Magnoliopsida; Malpighiales; Euphorbiaceae
Source: RNAcentral